CGGCAAAAGCUCAAAUUUGAAAUCUGGUACCUUCGGUGCCCGAGUUGUAAUUUGGAGAGGGCAACUUUGGGGCCGUUCCUUGUCUAUGUUCCUUGGAACAGGACGUCAUAGAGGGUGAGAAUCCCGUGUGGCGAGGAGUGCGGUUCUUUGUAAAGUGCCUUCGAAGAGUCGAGUUGUUUGGGAAUGCAGCUCUAAGUGGGUGGUAAAUUCCAUCUAAAGCUAAAUAUUGGCGAGAGACCGAUAGCGAACAAGUACAGUGAUGGAAAGAUGAAAAGAACUUUGAAAAGAGAGUGAAAAAGUACGUGAAAUUGUUGAAAGGGAAGGGCAUUUGAUCAGACAUGGUGUUUUGUGCCCUCUGCUCCUUGUGGGUAGGGGAAUCUCGCAUUUCACUGGGCCAGCAUCAGUUUUGGUGGCAGGAUAAAUCCAUAGGAAUGUAGCUUGCCUCGGUAAGUAUUAUAGCCUGUGGGAAUACUGCCAGCUGGGACUGAGGACUGCGACGUAAGUCAAGGAUGCUGGCAUAAUGGUUAUAUGCC
Molecule: ribosomal RNA, 533 nt
Filed under: Saccharomyces cerevisiae (brewer's yeast)
Lineage: Eukaryota; Fungi; Ascomycota; Saccharomycetes; Saccharomycetales; Saccharomycetaceae
Description: partial large subunit ribosomal RNA
Rfam family: Eukaryotic large subunit ribosomal RNA
Source: RNAcentral